Molecule: ribosomal RNA, 253 nt
Filed under: uncultured bacterium
Lineage: Bacteria
Description: partial 16S ribosomal RNA
Rfam family: Bacterial small subunit ribosomal RNA
Source: RNAcentral
UACGAAGGGGGCGAGCGUUGUUCGGAUUUACUGGGCGUAAAGGGCGCGUAGGCGGCCUUGUCAGUCAGGCGUGAAAGCCCCGGGCUCAACCUGGGAACGGCGCUUGGGACGGCGAGGCUGGAGUUCGGGAGAGGAGAGUGGAAUUCCCAGUGUAGAGGUGAAAUUCGUAGAUAUCGGGAGGAACACCGGUGGCGAAGGCGGCGAUCUGGGUCGAUACUGACGCUGAGGUGCGAAAGCGUGGGGAGCAAACAGG